AAGUCGUAACAAGGUAACCGUAGGUGAACCUGCGGUUGGAUCAUUAGAAAAUUCUCGAAGCAAACGCUUCAGAAACACUGUGUGCACCGUUUUCUGUCUCUGGCAGGACCAGGGAGCAGCGAUGCUCUCCCCUGCCAAAGGAGUGGGAGCUGCCCUUCGGGCGACUUCCAUUCUGAUUUGAACAACCCUAUGUUUGUUUCAAUUUGUCUGAAUAAUUCUUCACCUAGUGUGAGAAAUUGAAAACAACUUUUGGCAACGGAUCUCUUGGCUCUC
Molecule: unclassified non-coding RNA, 273 nt
Filed under: fungal sp.
Lineage: Eukaryota; Fungi
Also listed under: 1 other name
Description: partial internal transcribed spacer region
Rfam family: Eukaryotic small subunit ribosomal RNA (bases 1-46)
Source: RNAcentral